Molecule: ribosomal RNA, 253 nt
Filed under: uncultured bacterium
Lineage: Bacteria
Description: partial 16S ribosomal RNA
Rfam family: Bacterial small subunit ribosomal RNA
Source: RNAcentral
GACGUAGGGCGCGAGCGUUGUCCGGAUUUAUUGGGCGUAAAGAGCUCGUAGGCGGCUUGUCGCGUCGACUGUGAAAUCUCCGGGCUUAACCCGGAAAGGUCAGCCGAUACUGCGGGGCUAGAGUGCAGAAGGGGCAACUGGAAUUCUCGGUGUAGCGGUGAAAUGCGUAGAUAUCGAGAGGAACACCUGCGGCGAAGGCGGGUUGCUGGGCUGACACUGACGCUGAGGCGCGAAAGCUAGGGGAGCGAACGGG